AUACGGAGGGUGCAAGCGUUACUCGGAAUCACUGGGCGUAAAGCGCGCGCAGGCGGGCUGAUAAGUUGGAUGUGAAAGCCUACGGCUCAACCGUAGAACUGCAUCCAAAACUGUCAGUCUAGAGUCUGGGAGGGGAAGAUGGAAUUAGUUGUGUAGGGGUAAAAUCCGUAGAGAUAACUAGGAAUACCAAAAGCGAAGGCGAUCUUCUGGAACAGUACUGACGCUGAGGCGCGAAAGCGUGGGGAGCAAACAGGAUUAGAAACCCGGGUAGUCC
RNAcentral lists this ribosomal RNA (274 nucleotides) under uncultured bacterium. Its description in RNAcentral is "partial 16S ribosomal RNA". It matches the Rfam family "Bacterial small subunit ribosomal RNA", at positions 523 to 796 of the family's 1533-position model. The record is from RNAcentral.